UAUGAUGAAAUGAAGUGAGGCAAAUGAUAUAGGCAUUGUGACAUAGAGUUCAGCUACUACCUACCUGAUGAUUCAUCAAAGGAUGAUCUGCUUUCCGACUGAAGGAUCUCCUGCCUUCCGGCUAAAGGAUCGCCUUCUUUUCGACUAUUGACUUGAUUGCAGGAAAGAGAGAUUGUUGGCAGAAAAUAAUGAAAACACAAGGGCUUGUGCUGUAUGCUGAAAGAAUUGCUCCUGAGACAAUAAAGGUGAAAUGCAGAUAAGGACCGUCAA
Molecule: long non-coding RNA, 270 nt
Organism: Suricata suricatta (meerkat)
Lineage: Eukaryota; Metazoa; Chordata; Mammalia; Carnivora; Herpestidae
Exons: 2
Source: RefSeq, a predicted model, not a curated record